This 81-nucleotide non-coding RNA is filed under the name Facklamia hominis. RNAcentral's name for it is "Fluoride sequence". It matches the Rfam family "Fluoride riboswitch aptamer (crcB RNA motif)". The record is from RNAcentral. RNAcentral also lists the same sequence under 1 other name. Lineage: Bacteria; Bacillati; Bacillota; Bacilli; Lactobacillales; Aerococcaceae.
CUUUAUUGAGGAAAUGAAGUGCUUCCUGGCUUACAAAGUGUGAGUCGAACCGUUCUAAGAACUAAUGACUUCUACAAGCUU